RNAcentral lists this unclassified non-coding RNA (392 nucleotides) under Rhodotorula toruloides. The record is from RNAcentral. Lineage: Eukaryota; Fungi; Basidiomycota; Microbotryomycetes; Sporidiobolales; Sporidiobolaceae.
UCGCUCGCACUUCCACGCUUUGAGGACUCGCGCUGUUCUCUCCACUGUCUUACAGACCUGCUCUGACCGUUACGACCGCCCGCACGCCGCGCCGACCCGCUCAGCUCGCCCGCGAACCUUUUCAUCUUAUCGACUCGCUUCGACCCAGAUCGCUAGUACAGGAGCGUCCGAGUCGCACACAGGCUGCUGCAGGCCCACAGGAGGACAUAGUGCUCGAGCGAAGGCGCCUACGUCCCGUUCGGUCAGACUUGCGUACGGCAAGUCGAGUAACGUGUCAGCUGGCGUCUCCUCGAAAUGCUGUUCUACUUGGCGUUUCCUUCGAUUUCUUGGCGCGCUCUGUCUUCCAUGCCGCACGUCACAAUGUUGUCGCAAUGCAUCACACCGUCCAAACG